AAAUUGAAGAGUUUGAUCAUGGCUCAGAUUGAACGCUGGCGGCAGGCCUAACACAUGCAAGUCGAGCGGUAGCACAGAGAGCUUGCUCUCGGGUGACGAGCGGCGGACGGGUGAGUAAUGUCUGGGAAACUGCCUGAUGGAGGGGGAUAACUACUGGAAACGGUAGCUAAUACCGCAUAACGUCGCAAGACCAAAGUGGGGGACCUUCGGGCCUCAUGCCAUCAGAUGUGCCCAGAUGGGAUUAGCUGGUAGGUGGGGUAACGGCUCACCUAGGCGACGAUCCCUAGCUGGUCUGAGAGGAUGACCAGCCACACUGGAACUGAGACACGGUCCAGACUCCUACGGGAGGCAGCAGUGGGGAAUAUUGCACAAUGGGCGCAAGCCUGAUGCAGCCAUGCCGCGUGUGUGAAGAAGGCCUUCGGGUUGUAAAGCACUUUCAGCGGGGAGGAAGGCGAUAAGGUUAAUAACCUUGCCGAUUGACGUUACCCGCAGAAGAAGCACCGGCUAACUCCGUGCCAGCAGCCGCGGUAAUACGGAGGGUGCAAGCGUUAAUCGGAAUUACUGGGCGUAAAGCGCACGCAGGCGGUCUGUCAAGUCGGAUGUGAAAUCCCCGGGCUCAACCUGGGAACUGCAUUCGAAACUGGCAGGCUAGAGUCUUGUAGAGGGGGGUAGAAUUCCAGGUGUAGCGGUGAAAUGCGUAGAGAUCUGGAGGAAUACCGGUGGCGAAGGCGGCCCCCUGGACAAAGACUGACGCUCAGGUGCGAAAGCGUGGGGAGCAAACAGGAUUAGAUACCCUGGUAGUCCACGCUGUAAACGAUGUCGAUUUGGAGGUUGUGCCCUUGAGGCGUGGCUUCCGGAGCUAACGCGUUAAAUCGACCGCCUGGGGAGUACGGCCGCAAGGUUAAAACUCAAAUGAAUUGACGGGGGCCCGCACAAGCGGUGGAGCAUGUGGUUUAAUUCGAUGCAACGCGAAGAACCUUACCUGGUCUUGACAUCCACAGAACUUUCCAGAGAUGGAUUGGUGCCUUCGGGAACUGUGAGACAGGUGCUGCAUGGCUGUCGUCAGCUCGUGUUGUGAAAUGUUGGGUUAAGUCCCGCAACGAGCGCAACCCUUAUCCUUUGUUGCCAGCGGUCCGGCCGGGAACUCAAAGGAGACUGCCAGUGAUAAACUGGAGGAAGGUGGGGAUGACGUCAAGUCAUCAUGGCCCUUACGACCAGGGCUACACACGUGCUACAAUGGCAUAUACAAAGAGAAGCGACCUCGCGAGAGCAAGCGGACCUCAUAAAGUAUGUCGUAGUCCGGAUUGGAGUCUGCAACUCGACUCCAUGAAGUCGGAAUCGCUAGUAAUCGUAGAUCAGAAUGCUACGGUGAAUACGUUCCCGGGCCUUGUACACACCGCCCGUCACACCAUGGGAGUGGGUUGCAAAAGAAGUAGGUAGCUUAACCUUCGGGAGGGCGCUUACCACUUUGUGAUUCAUGACUGGGGUGAAGUCGUAACAAGGUAACCGUAGGGGAACCUGCGGUUGGAUCACCUCCUUACCUUAAAGAA
This 1550-nucleotide ribosomal RNA is filed under the name Klebsiella variicola. RNAcentral describes it as "bacterial SSU rRNA". It matches the Rfam family "Bacterial small subunit ribosomal RNA". The record is from RNAcentral. Lineage: Bacteria; Pseudomonadati; Pseudomonadota; Gammaproteobacteria; Enterobacterales; Enterobacteriaceae.